UCUCCGUUGGUGAACCAGCGGAGGGAUCAUUACAGAGUUUUCACAACUCCCAACCCUUGCGAACCGUACCCAUUCUGUUCUCGUUGCUUCCGGCGGGGGGCCCUACGAACCUUUAUAUCUCAACCACCAGAAACCGUCUGAGAAAACAAACAAAAUGAUCAAAACUUUCAACAACGGAUCUCUUGGCUCUG
This 191-nucleotide unclassified non-coding RNA is filed under the name plant metagenome. RNAcentral's name for it is "partial contains small subunit ribosomal RNA, internal transcribed spacer 1, and 5.8S ribosomal RNA". The record is from RNAcentral.